AGCCUCCCUGGGAGCUGCAACUGGCUGGG
Molecule: non-coding RNA, 29 nt
Filed under: Cricetulus griseus (Chinese hamster)
Lineage: Eukaryota; Metazoa; Chordata; Mammalia; Rodentia; Cricetidae
Source: RNAcentral